CGUGUAGGCGGUCACGUAAGUCGGAUGUGAAAGCCCUCGGCUCAACCGGGGAAGGGCACCCGAAACUGCGCGACUCGAGUCUCGGAGAGGAUAGUGGAAUUCUCGGUGUAGAGGUGAAAUUCGUAGAUAUCGAGAGGAACACCGGUGGCGAAGGCGGCUAUCUGGACGAUGACUGACGCUGAGACGCGAAAGCGUGGGGAGCAAACAGGAUUAGAUACCCUGGUAGUCCACGCCGUAAACGAUGGGUGCUAGGUGUCGCGGGCUUUGACCCCUGCGGUGCCGCAGCUAACGCACUAAGCACCCCGCCUGGGGAGUACGGCCGCAAGGCUAAA
Molecule: ribosomal RNA, 332 nt
Filed under: uncultured bacterium
Lineage: Bacteria
Description: bacterial SSU rRNA
Rfam family: Bacterial small subunit ribosomal RNA
Source: RNAcentral